This is a long non-coding RNA of Cheilinus undulatus (humphead wrasse), 292 nucleotides long. RefSeq lists it as uncharacterized. The transcript has 3 exons. NCBI's taxonomy places the organism in Eukaryota, Metazoa, Chordata, Actinopteri, Labriformes, Labridae. The record is from RefSeq and is a predicted model, not a curated record.
GUCGGUACAUGCGCGCGCAGCACGCGCUCUGAUCAAAGCUGAUCCCAGCAUGAUCAAAGGGAGAUGUGUGCUGCAGACCACAGGUGAACACAGAGUAAAGAUCCAGAACCCACGUGCUGUUUCCUGAGUGGUCUCUAUAUACCCAAGAACACAACGCAGAGGACACACACACGCACACACACCCACACAUGGGUUACACAAACACAUGAUUGUAAAAACUAAAACACAACCAAACACACUUUUAGAAGACCGACUAAAAUGUAAUGAAUCAGUCAGACUCUAAAAUAUUUAA